Molecule: ribosomal RNA, 2902 nt
Filed under: Escherichia coli
Lineage: Bacteria; Pseudomonadati; Pseudomonadota; Gammaproteobacteria; Enterobacterales; Enterobacteriaceae
Description: bacterial LSU rRNA
Rfam family: Bacterial large subunit ribosomal RNA
Source: RNAcentral
UUAAGCGACUAAGCGUACACGGUGGAUGCCCUGGCAGUCAGAGGCGAUGAAGGACGUGCUAAUCUGCGAUAAGCGUCGGUAAGGUGAUAUGAACCGUUAUAACCGGCGAUUUCCGAAUGGGGAAACCCAGUGUGAUUCGUCACACUAUCAUUAACUGAAUCCAUAGGUUAAUGAGGCGAACCGGGGGAACUGAAACAUCUAAGUACCCCGAGGAAAAGAAAUCAACCGAGAUUCCCCCAGUAGCGGCGAGCGAACGGGGAGCAGCCCAGAGCCUGAAUCAGUGUGUGUGUUAGUGGAAGCGUCUGGAAAGGCGCGCGAUACAGGGUGACAGCCCCGUACACAAAAAUGCACAUACUGUGAGCUCGAUGAGUAGGGCGGGACACGUGGUAUCCUGUCUGAAUAUGGGGGGACCAUCCUCCAAGGCUAAAUACUCCUGACUGACCGAUAGUGAACCAGUACCGUGAGGGAAAGGCGAAAAGAACCCCGGCGAGGGGAGUGAAAAAGAACCUGAAACCGUGUACGUACAAGCAGUGGGAGCACGCUUAGGCGUGUGACUGCAUACCUUUUGUAUAAUGGGUCAGCGACUUAUAUUCUGUAGCAAGGUUAACCGAAUAGGGGAGCCGAAGGGAAACCGAGUCUUAACUGGGCGUUAAGUUGCAGGGUAUAGACCCGAAACCCGGUGAUCUAGCCAUGGGCAGGUUGAAGGUUGGGUAACACUAACUGGAGGACCGAACCGACUAAUGUUGAAAAAUUAGCGGAUGACUUGUGGCUGGGGGUGAAAGGCCAAUCAAACCGGGAGAUAGCUGGUUCUCCCCGAAAGCUAUUUAGGUAGCGCCUCGUGAAUUCAUCUCCGGGGGUAGAGCACUGUUUCGGCAAGGGGGUCAUCCCGACUUACCAACCCGAUGCAAACUGCGAAUACCGGAGAAUGUUAUCACGGGAGACACACGGCGGGUGCUAACGUCCGUCGUGAAGAGGGAAACAACCCAGACCGCCAGCUAAGGUCCCAAAGUCAUGGUUAAGUGGGAAACGAUGUGGGAAGGCCCAGACAGCCAGGAUGUUGGCUUAGAAGCAGCCAUCAUUUAAAGAAAGCGUAAUAGCUCACUGGUCGAGUCGGCCUGCGCGGAAGAUGUAACGGGGCUAAACCAUGCACCGAAGCUGCGGCAGCGACGCUGAUGCGUUGUUGGGUAGGGGAGCGUUCUGUAAGCCUGCGAAGGUGUGCUGUGAGGCAUGCUGGAGGUAUCAGAAGUGCGAAUGCUGACAUAAGUAACGAUAAAGCGGGUGAAAAGCCCGCUCGCCGGAAGACCAAGGGUUCCUGUCCAACGUUAAUCGGGGCAGGGUGAGUCGACCCCUAAGGCGAGGCCGAAAGGCGUAGUCGAUGGGAAACAGGUUAAUAUUCCUGUACUUGGUGUUACUGCGAAGGGGGGACGGAGAAGGCUAUGUUGGCCGGGCGACGGUUGUCCCGGUUUAAGCGUGUAGGCUGGUUUUCCAGGCAAAUCCGGAAAAUCAAGGCUGAGGCGUGAUGACGAGGCACUACGGUGCUGAAGCAACAAAUGCCCUGCUUCCAGGAAAAGCCUCUAAGCAUCAGGUAACAUCAAAUCGUACCCCAAACCGACACAGGUGGUCAGGUAGAGAAUACCAAGGCGCUUGAGAGAACUCGGGUGAAGGAACUAGGCAAAAUGGUGCCGUAACUUCGGGAGAAGGCACGCUGAUAUGUAGGUGAAGUCCCUCGCGGAUGGAGCUGAAAUCAGUCGAAGAUACCAGCUGGCUGCAACUGUUUAUUAAAAACACAGCACUGUGCAAACACGAAAGUGGACGUAUACGGUGUGACGCCUGCCCGGUGCCGGAAGGUUAAUUGAUGGGGUCAGCGCAAGCGAAGCUCUUGAUCGAAGCCCCGGUAAACGGCGGCCGUAACUAUAACGGUCCUAAGGUAGCGAAAUUCCUUGUCGGGUAAGUUCCGACCUGCACGAAUGGCGUAAUGAUGGCCAGGCUGUCUCCACCCGAGACUCAGUGAAAUUGAACUCGCUGUGAAGAUGCAGUGUACCCGCGGCAAGACGGAAAGACCCCGUGAACCUUUACUAUAGCUUGACACUGAACAUUGAGCCUUGAUGUGUAGGAUAGGUGGGAGGCUUUGAAGUGUGGACGCCAGUCUGCAUGGAGCCGGCCUUGAAAUACCACCCUUUAAUGUUUGAUGUUCUAACGUUGACCCGUGAUCCGGGUUGCGGACAGUGUCUGGUGGGUAGUUUGACUGGGGCGGUCUCCUCCUAAAGAGUAACGGAGGAGCACGAAGGUUGGCUAAUCCUGGUCGGACAUCAGGAGGUUAGUGCAAUGGCAUAAGCCAGCUUGACUGCGAGCGUGACGGCGCGAGCAGGUGCGAAAGCAGGUCAUAGUGAUCCGGUGGUUCUGAAUGGAAGGGCCAUCGCUCAACGGAUAAAAGGUACUCCGGGGAUAACAGGCUGAUACCGCCCAAGAGUUCAUAUCGACGGCGGUGUUUGGCACCUCGAUGUCGGCUCAUCACAUCCUGGGGCUGAAGUAGGUCCCAAGGGUAUGGCUGUUCGCCAUUUAAAGUGGUACGCGAGCUGGGUUUAGAACGUCGUGAGACAGUUCGGUCCCUAUCUGCCGUGGGCGCUGGAGAACUGAGGGGGGCUGCUCCUAGUACGAGAGGACCGGAGUGGACGCAUCACUGGUGUUCGGGUUGUCAUGCCAAUGGCACUGCCCGGUAGCUAAAUGCGGAAGAGAUAAGUGCUGAAAGCAUCUAAGCACGAAACUUGCCCCGAGAUGAGUUCUCCCUGACUCCUUGAGAGUCCUGAAGGAACGUUGAAGACGACGACGUUGAUAGGCCGGGUGUGUAAGCGCAGCGAUGCGUUGAGCUAACCGGUACUAAUGAACCGUGAGGCUUAACCUU